AAGUCGGGGUCUUCUGGGGAGCACCGGUAUUCCGCACCUCCGCCACCACCAACCGGCUACGAGCUGCCAACGCCGCCGACUUCAGGCUCUUCUGGUGAGCACCGCCAUUCCUCACCGCCGCCGCCAUCAACAAUACCAGCUACACCGCCACCAUAUUCCGGCUACGGGCCGGCAGCCCCGCCUGUUGGCCUGAUUCCACCCACCAGUUCUCCGGUGGCUCCG
RNAcentral lists this unclassified non-coding RNA (222 nucleotides) under Hevea brasiliensis (rubber tree). Lineage: Eukaryota; Viridiplantae; Streptophyta; Magnoliopsida; Malpighiales; Euphorbiaceae. The record is from RNAcentral.